Molecule: ribosomal RNA, 411 nt
Filed under: Verrucomicrobiota bacterium
Lineage: Bacteria; Pseudomonadati; Verrucomicrobiota
Description: Verrucomicrobia bacterium partial 16S ribosomal RNA
Rfam family: Bacterial small subunit ribosomal RNA
Source: RNAcentral
UGGGGAAUCUUGCGCAAUGGGGGAAACCCUGACGCAGCGACGCCGCGUGCGGGAUGAAGGCCUUCGGGUUGUAAACCGCUUUCAGCAGGGACGAGGCCUUAUGGUGACGGUACCUGCAGAAGAAGCUCCGGCUAAAUACGUGCCAGCAGCCGCGGUAAUACGUAUGGAGCAAGCGUUAUCCGGAUUCAUUGGGCGUAAAGCGCUCGUAGGCGGUCUGUUAGGUCGGCGAGUUAAAUCCGGGGGCUCAACCCCCGUCCGCUUCCGAUACCGGCAGACUUGAGUUUGGUAGGGGAAGGUGGAAUUCCUGGUGUAGCGGUGGAAUGCGCAGAUAUUAGGAAGACCACCGGUGGCGAAGGCGGCCUUCUGGGCCAUAACUGACGCUGAGGAGCGAAAGCUAGGGGAGCGAACAGG